RNAcentral lists this ribosomal RNA (372 nucleotides) under uncultured organism. RNAcentral's name for it is "bacterial SSU rRNA". It matches the Rfam family "Bacterial small subunit ribosomal RNA", at positions 526 to 896 of the family's 1533-position model. The record is from RNAcentral.
CAGGGGGUGCAAGCGUUGUUCGGAAUUACUGGGCGUAAAGCGCGGGCAGGUGGCCCGCUAAGUCUGCGGUGAAAUCCCGGAGCUCAGCUCCGGAUAUGCCGCGGAUACUGGCGGGCUAGAGACCAGUAGAGGCGAGUGGAAUUCCAGGUGUAGCGGUGGAAUGCGUAGAUAUCUGGAAGAACACCGGUGGCGAAGGCGGCUCGCUGGGCUGGUUCUGACACUCAUCCGCGAAAGCGUGGGGAGCAAACAGGAUUAGAUACCCUGGUAGUCCACGCCGUAAACGAUGGGCACUAGAUGCCGGGUCUAUAGACGGAUUCGGUGUCGUAGCUAACGCAUUAAGUGCCCCGCCUGGGGAGUACGGCCGCAAGGCUG